AAGAAGAAGAAGAAGCAACUCCAAAUGAACAAUCAACGCGCUCGCGUCAAGUAACCUUUACCUGUACCUGCAACUCGUGUUGUAGUAAUCUGUGAGCCACAGGGGACACAACAAUCUCAUUUCCAAAGGUAUCAAGACUAGCAAAGCUUAAUGGGUGAGGUAUGGUUAAGUGGUGAGGUUGCAGCAGCGGCUAAGCAUAUAUUAGGUGGCUACACUUACGAGUACAAGAAAUAAGAGGGGGGUGAUCUACGCAUAGCGGACGUGACUACUGAUGAUCAAAUGAAUGAUCCUGAACACCUACCUACGUCAGACAUAACCCCACCGUGUCCUCGAUCGGAGAAGGAACUCACGAAAGAGACAGUCACGGUUACGCAGACAGUUGGCAUGUUUUAAUUAAGUUAACUUCAAGUUAUCUAGAACCCGUGUUAAACAAAGUUUCCACGUUGCCACAUAACCGCGGGCAUGGCUUUCCGAAAGAUUUAACCCUGGAGGGGUGCUCCAACUAGUCCAUCACAAAUUACCACAAGCCGCAUAGAAAUCCUCAAUCACGAAGCUCGCGAUCUCGUCGGAUUCCCUAGUGGAAAACCUCAACUCUGAGAUUACCCAAAGCAUCACCAGAAUCCCGAUGCACAAGAUAUCUCGUCAAAGGUAAAACUAAUCCAGCAAGGCCGCCCGACGUGUCGACGAUCCCGAUAGGAGUCGUGUACCUCGUUCUCAGGACACGGCGGAUGAGCUAGACGUCGGGAUCGCUAAACCUCCGGGUGACCAGAGGGUCGCCGGACAUCGCUCAGGUGGGACCAACACUCAUGAGGAGCACUAGCCCGGGGGUUGAUUAAAUUAUCCUUGGGGUCCGGAAAGUCCCUAUGCAAUUUUAUUAGGUGUUUAGGCAAAAGUAGUACAAAGUUGGGCCUUGCCAGACCACCUUUAAUCUAAAACGAAUUAUCAAGGGGGUCCCCAUAACAACCCCGAUCGUGUUAGGAGCACUCAUUUAUGGAACAUAACACCGGUAGCCGGAAACUAAGGGGGCAAAGGUGGCACAAAACACCAGGCUAGUAAGGCCGAGCCUUCCACUUUUACCAAGUAUAUAGGUUCAUUAAAUUAAAUGGCAUUUGGAUAUGGUGAUAUAACAAGGAACCCAUGUUAUCACAUGGAAGCAACUGCACCUGCAACUAGCAACGCUAUCAACAGGGUUAAGCAAGCGGUAACAUAGCCAGUCAGUGGUUUGCUAGGUUGCACAGGUUGAAGGUUGCAUGGCAUUGUUGAGAGGCUGAUAUUUAACAUGUGGUAGGCAUCGAGACAUAAACGAUAGAAGCAAUAAAACUAGCAUGGCAAUGAUAGUAAUGGUAUAUGGGGAAAUGGUCAUCUUGCCUGAGAUCCCGCUUGGAAGAAGAAUGACUCCGUGAAGCAGACGAACCGAUGUAGUCGAACGAGUCCUCACUUUCCGACACACUUGCGGAACUCCACCGAGACGGAGCAAACCGGAAAAGAAUCAACACACGAUAUUCAUCACUCACAUGCAUGAUAUGAUGCUCACCCUAAUAUGAUGCAUGAUCAGUUAAAAUAUGCAAGGCAUGGCAUGGCAUGGCAAAUCACAUCACACAACCACUACACAUUAAGUGAAGCUCAAUAUGCAACAACGAGUUGCAUAUUGACGAAACUCCACAUACGAACUGUUUAGUUCCCUCUUGAUUACGUACACGGCAUAUUAAAUGUUGUUAACAUGGCAAGGGGUGAUGCACAAGUUAAUCUACCUAUCUAGGCAUUUUAAAUGAGGCCGGAAACAACUUAUAACAUCUCCGAGAUGACCCCACGCGUUAAAUUCUAAUUCUGUCCAGGUUUGUCCUAAUCACAUUUUAAGUUUGUUAAACAGAAAAACAAAGU
This 1881-nucleotide long non-coding RNA is filed under the name Hordeum vulgare. RNAcentral's name for it is "long non-coding RNA (HVUL_LNC007541)". The record is from RNAcentral. Lineage: Eukaryota; Viridiplantae; Streptophyta; Magnoliopsida; Poales; Poaceae.